RNAcentral lists this ribosomal RNA (515 nucleotides) under uncultured bacterium. Its description in RNAcentral is "partial 16S ribosomal RNA". It matches the Rfam family "Bacterial small subunit ribosomal RNA", at positions 28 to 523 of the family's 1533-position model. The record is from RNAcentral.
GAUGAACGCUGGCGGCGUGCCUAAUACAUGCAAGUCGAGCGAAUGGAUUAAGAGCUUGCUCUUAUGAAGUUAGCGGCGGACGGGUGAGUAACACGUGGGUAACCUGCCCAUAAGACUGGGAUAACUCCGGGAAACCGGGGCUAAUACCGGAUAACAUUUUGAACCGCAUGGUUCGAAAUUGAAAGGCGGCUUCGGCUGUCACUUAUGGAUGGACCCGCGUCGCAUUAGCUAGUGGGUGAGGUAACGGCUCACCAAGGCAACGAUGCGUAGCCGACAUGAGAGGGUGAUCGGCCACACUGGGACUGAGACACGGCCCAGACUCCUACGGGAGGCAGCAGUAGGGAAUCUUCCGCAAUGGACGAAAGUCUGACGGAGCGACGCCGCGUGAGUGAUGAAGGCUUUCGGGUCGUAAAACUCUGUUGUUAGGGAAGAACAAGUGCUAGUUGAAUAGGCUGGCACCUUGACGGUACCUAACCAGAAAGCCACGGCUAACUACGUGCCAGCAGCCGCGGUAA